UGAGGAAUAUUGGUCAAUGGGUGCAAGCCUGAACCAGCCAUCCCGCGUGAAGGACGACUGCCCUAUGGGUUGUAAACUUCUUUUGUAUAGGGAUAAACCUACCCUCGUGAGGGUAGCUGAAGGUACUAUACGAAUAAGCACCGGCUAACUCCGUGUCAGCAGCCGCGGUAAUACGGAGGGUGCAAGCGUUAUCCGGAUUUAUUGGGUUUAAAGGGUCCGUAGGCGGACUUAUAAGUCAGUGGUGAAAGCCUGUCGCUUAACGAUAGAACUGCCAUUGAUACUGUAAGUCUUGAGUAUAUUUGAGGUAGCUGGAAUAAGUAGUGUAGCGGUGAAAUGCAUAGAUAUUACUUAGAACACCAAUUGCGAAGGCAGGUUACCAAGAUAUAACUGACGCUGAGGGACGAAAGCGUGGGGAGCGAACA
Molecule: ribosomal RNA, 422 nt
Filed under: uncultured bacterium
Lineage: Bacteria
Description: bacterial SSU rRNA
Rfam family: Bacterial small subunit ribosomal RNA
Source: RNAcentral